Molecule: long non-coding RNA, 1017 nt
Filed under: Callithrix jacchus (white-tufted-ear marmoset)
Lineage: Eukaryota; Metazoa; Chordata; Mammalia; Primates; Cebidae
Description: lncRNA (ENSCJAG00000078004.1)
Source: RNAcentral
CAUUUACUUGAGCAACAAGACAUAAUUUGCAGUUGGACAUGAGCAAUAUAUGAGAGAAUGUUAAAAUUUUAUAAUUUCUCUACAGUUUUCCUUUUAAAUAUUGAUAAGAAAGGCUUACAGUUCUAAGGAGAACUAUUUUGGCUUUCACUGAUUUAAUAAGAUCACAUGACUCCUUUUUCAGUGCUAAGUGAGACAACAUGCCAAGAAGUGAUAAUUAACUGAACCAUGAGAUACGAAGGGAAAGAAUAGACACUUGUUCUAAUCAAGUGUUUCGCAAAUGUAAACGGCAUCACGUCCACCAGGCAGGCAUGACGCGUCUUGUUGAGUCUGCUAGAAGGAACAAGUUGUAGGUUAACUAGAGAGUGUUGCAGCACCCAUAUCCUGAAAAACUACAAGCAUUUUAAAGAUUUUACUUCUUGUGGGAGUAGAAUUUUAAAAAACCGAAUUACGAGAUAUCCAGAAGAAGGCAUUGUUACCUUAGAGAUGACGUAGAGAUCUGCGUUAUUGCCCCUGAAGGCCUUCCAGGGGGACAAGACGUGAAGAUGGAAGACAGUGAUGUUGAUGAUCCUGCCCUGUGUAGGCCUAAGAUACUGUAUGUGUUUGUGUCUUCGCUCUUAACAAAGAAGUUUAAAAAGUAAAAACAAUAAAAAUGGCAUAAUUUAGAACUAGAAGAAAACUUAUGGUGUAAGGAAAUAAAUAAAUAUUUUUGUAUGUCUAUUUAAUGCAUUUGCGUUGUAAACUAAGUGUGAUUACUAAAGAACUUUAAAAAAAUCCAAGGAAUCUAAGAGCGUAAAGAAGUUGGAUUGCUGGCAAGAUGGCUGAGUAGGAACAGCUGUGGUCUGUAGCUCCCAGCAACAUUGAUGCAGAAGGCACUGAUUUCUGCAUUUCCAGCUGAGAUACCCGGUUCAUCUCCUUGGGACUGAUUGGAUGGUGGGUGCAGACCAAGGAGGGGGAGCUGAAGCAGGGUGGGGUGUCGCCUCACCUGGGAAGUGCAAGGGGUCGGAGAACUCCGUCUCC